This 288-nucleotide unclassified non-coding RNA is filed under the name uncultured fungus. RNAcentral describes it as "sequence contains ITS1". The record is from RNAcentral. Lineage: Eukaryota; Fungi.
GUGUUAAGUUUUAAAGGCCAUGAAAGCCUGUAACAUAACAUUCUUUGACAUGCGGUGUGAAUGUAAAAAGACAUAGACCGGAUGCGGGCAAGGGAAAGCUGGCCAACAAACUAUGGCAGCAGCAGACCCUCCAACCGAGUUGACCUUGAAGAGAUGUAUCCAAGUCUACAGAAGGUGCACAGGUGGUAAAAAGAAGUUGGUGUCAGGUGUGCACAUGCCCUGAGGGACCAGCAACAGCCCAACCAAGUUCAUUCAAUAAUGAUCCUUCCGCAGGUUCACCUACGGAAA